UGACAUUUGAUUGACAAAUCAUGCAUUGCGCUGCGUUUGUAUAUUGGACUGUCUUUGCUUGUUAUUGCCAAGUCUAUCUUUUUGUAACCUGAAAAGCUCCUGAAACGCGAAGCCUAGGCUAAAAGAAGAUGAGAAUCCACGCUUUCCUCGCUUUAAUGCUGGUAACAGUUAUCAUUAAAACUGUUGUUUCACAGUCCACGAGUUCUACCCCUUCCCUUACUUCAACACCAAGCUCCUCCCAAGCUUCCCCAACAACAUCGAGUGGUGACGCCUCGGCAUCAGUAUCCGUAUCAGUGUCGCCUACAGCAGUGCAGUCCUCAGCUGCAGCGACCUCCAGCGUGGUGAAUAGGACGACGGCCGAACCCCCAACAACAAAAAGCAGUGCCAACGUACUGGCCCCCACAGUCACGUGUCUUGCUGCAGUCAUUGCCAUCAUGGGUUAUCUGUGGUAACUAUGGCAACAGCCUUGGAGAGAAGAAGCCAGAUCGUGUUUGUUUUUGCUUAGGCAUGCGAGAGCUUUUGUUUAAAGUCAUGAAAUAGAUAACAACAUUUUUUGAUCAAUAAAAAAUAAGUAAAAAAUGAAAAAUAAUGGUUUAAUUCUUAACAUUUUAGCUUGUUUAGACAAUUGUUAACAUUUUAGCGUUUUUUUCUAUUCUUAUUAACAAAAUUAAAAUUCCAGAAUUUG
Long non-coding RNA from Nematostella vectensis (starlet sea anemone), 685 nucleotides. RefSeq lists it as uncharacterized. The transcript is spliced from 2 exons. NCBI's taxonomy places the organism in Eukaryota, Metazoa, Cnidaria, Anthozoa, Actiniaria, Edwardsiidae. The record is from RefSeq and is a predicted model, not a curated record.